Molecule: non-coding RNA, 271 nt
Organism: Pelobates cultripes (western spadefoot toad)
Lineage: Eukaryota; Metazoa; Chordata; Amphibia; Anura; Pelobatidae
Source: the annotation of a GenBank genome assembly
GUUUAUGAACCCUAGUCACACCUCCCUGCAUGUGACUUACACAGCCUUCCAUAAACACUUCCUGUAAAGAGAGCCCUAUUUAGGCUUUCUUUAUGGCAAGUUCUGUUUAAUUAAGAUGUUCUUAUCCCCUGCUAUGUUAAUAGCUUGCUAGACCCUGCAAGAGCCUCCUGUAUGUGAUUAAAGUUCAAUUUAGAGAUUGAGAUACAAUUAUUUAAGGUAAAUUACAUCUGUUUGAAAGUGAAACCAGUUUUUUUUUCAUGCAGGCUCUGUC